GUGGGGAAUUGUUCGCAAUGGGCGCAAGCCUGACGACGCAACGCCGCGUGGAGGACGAAGAUCUUCGGGUCGUAAACUCCUUUCGAUCGGGAAGAACGUUUUCGGGGUGAAUAAUCCCGAGAAGUGACGGUACCGAGAGAAGAAGCCCCGGCUAACUCUGUGCCAGCAGCCGCGGUAAUACAGGGGGGGCAAGCGUUGUUCGGAAUUACUGGGCGUAAAGGGCUUGUAGGCGGCCAACUAAGUCACACGUGAAAUCCCCAGGCUUAACCUGGGAACUGCGUGUGAUACUGGAUGGCUUGAAUUCGGGAGAGGGAUGCAGAAUUCCAGGUGUAGCGGUGAAAUGCGUAGAUAUCUGGAGGAAUACCGGUGGCGAAGGCGGCAUCCUGGACCGACAUUGACGCUGAGGAGCGAAAGCUAGGGGAGCAAAC
RNAcentral lists this ribosomal RNA (428 nucleotides) under uncultured bacterium. Its description in RNAcentral is "bacterial SSU rRNA". It matches the Rfam family "Bacterial small subunit ribosomal RNA", at positions 354 to 773 of the family's 1533-position model. The record is from RNAcentral.